This 530-nucleotide long non-coding RNA is filed under the name Phasianus colchicus (ring-necked pheasant). Its description in RNAcentral is "lncRNA (ENSPCLG00000002556.1)". The record is from RNAcentral. Lineage: Eukaryota; Metazoa; Chordata; Aves; Galliformes; Phasianidae.
GUUCAUUAGCUAAUCAAAAUGUAUUUCUGAGUAACUCGAGCGUAUUUUUCUUGAUUUGCUUCAGAAACUCCGCUCAGAAAUGAAGAAAACCUAAAGCCUUGUACAUGGUCCCACAAAGACUGUGUAUUCUAGCUUGUUUGGCAGUUCUGUUACUUGUCUUUCUAAUGCAAGAAACAUGACAGGCCAAUUGUCUGAAGUCAUUUUGAAAGGAAAAGGAGCUUCACUGCAUUUUUCCUGAAUAUUAUUCUCAUGUUGGUAUUUUUUUCAUCUGACUGAAAACACACACUUAGCCAUUGAUCUUUGACAGGUCUUUGUGAGCCUGUCAGUGCUGUUUUGAGGGAAUAGAAGUUUCAAGCUGAGAAAGAAAACAUAUACCGUCCAGUGUAUUGAUUCCUCACUGGUAUUUCUAUACUUUCUAAAGGGGAUCUCUGCAGAAUCCGACUGCAUGAUGACAAACAGUAAAACAGAAUUAUUGCUCGACUGGAGCAGAUUUUUUUUUAUCUUCAGUUUGAGGAAAGGUAAUUCAUAUU